RNAcentral lists this long non-coding RNA (16133 nucleotides) under Solanum tuberosum (potato). Its description in RNAcentral is "long non-coding RNA (STUB_LNC004357)". Lineage: Eukaryota; Viridiplantae; Streptophyta; Magnoliopsida; Solanales; Solanaceae. The record is from RNAcentral.
ACUUGAUCUUCUGGAAAAAUACCAAAGUAGAGAAAACACUGCUUGAGCGCAGUUGACAAAUCAUUGUAGCUUAAUGAUAGUAUGUUAGAUAUUUCAAUAAAUUUAUCUUCUUUAAUGUUCUUCCACCUUUUGCCAUUCGUUUAGCCCCUUUUUAUGCGAAAGUAGUCCGCUCAAUACAACAAUUGCAAGAGGUAAGCCUCUACACUUUUCCACCAUAUCCUUAGCUAGACUUUCCAUUUCUGGAACCAUUGCUCCAACAUCAAGCAGUUUCCUACAAAAGAGAUCCCAACUUUCUUCUUGACUUAGGAAACGAAGUUUAUGAACAAAACNNNNNNNNNNNNNNNNNNNNNNNNNNNNNNNNNNNNNNNNNNNNNNNNNNNNNNNNNNNNNNNNNNNNNNNNNNNNNNNNNNNNNNNNNNNNNNNNNNNNNNNNNNNNNNNNNNNNNNNNNUAAGAAGAUCCAUUGUGUUGUACUCUUGAGAAACACAUAUCCAAGAGCGUGUAGGGAAACUAGAGGCUAUAUUAGGACUGGUGUAAAGUUUUCUCGCAAGAGUGGUCUUGCCUAAACCCCCCAUUCCAUAAAUGGAGAGGACGCUUCGACGAGGCUCUGCUUUGAGAAGUUCAGCUAGCAAGUUUUGUACAACAUCCUGAAAGCCAACAAAAAUGUAAUCGUGGUCAUCCACAUAUGAGGUAGUUCUCCUCAAUGUUGCAACCUGAUUACUUGGCCCUUCUCCAGCAUUACUAUUGAUAUUUGUAAUACCAUAAGUCUCUCGUUUGCGAGAGAUAUCCAUGAUUCGUUUCUUGAGUGAUUUGAUCUCCUUGGCGACAUUGUAGAAUUUCUUCUCCUUCCUACAUAUGCAAGCACAAGCCUUGAGAUAACUAGCACGUUUACCAGCCUCAAAGCUGUAAGUUUCGAGUAUAGCAACAGCGUCAUUAGCAAUAGAGUUGAUCUCAAACACCCAUUGUACAACUCUAUGAUCCGCACAUUGCUUUAGUUCUGCAUCUUUGAGGAAAGGUUGUAUGAAGAGUAGCUCAUUUCUCAGCCAUGUAAUUUCAUCUCUGAGACUUGUAAGCAGGGAAACUUGUUGACUGAGGAAAUCGCCCAAUUUUCGUAGUGCAAAUGACAGAAAGGCAUCAGCCAUCUUCAGGAGUGUUGAUUUUUAUUUAGAAAAGAGGGGGCUGUAGGCUGUAUAUAUACAAAUAAAGUUUAAGUCAAGAAUUGAUAUAAGGCCAAAAAUGGACGAUCAAUACGAAAGCAAGACAUGAAUUAUUUGCCGGCAUAUGCAUUGGUUAAAACACUAUGUGGCUGUGUUUGAUACUCAUCAAUGUCAUAUCAUGAUAACAAGUUAAGACAAUUCAAAUUGAAUUAUCACCUGAAAUUAAAUUUAUCUUUUGUAGUAACAUAAUCAGUAAUCACAUAUAGUUCCCUGAUAGUACAUAUAUUUUUUUUAAAUACAAUUUCCUUAGUAAAAAUCAUAGCACUCAUAGUGCAUAUAAUUUUUUCUUAAAAAUUAUCAUUAUAAGUAAAAAUAAAAUAAAAUGGGACCCCAAAAAUAUGGGCCCCAAGUAAUGGAUUUAGUGGCCUAGGGGUUAAGACGGCCCUGGUUGUGGUAAAUGACAGUUAGUGGUAUUAAAUACUUCUAGUAAUUCUAUUUUAUCAUUUACCGUAACUUUAUUAUAAUAGCUUUAUCACGCAACCUAUUUUAUUAUAAUACGAUAAAGAGGUUGUUUUCGAAAGACCCUUGGCUCAAGAAAAAGAUUUUGAAAGAAAUGCAAGAGCCAAAAAAGUUGCUAUGAAAAUAUGGAUUCCUCUGAAUAUUUAGUGAAGUCUGAAUUCUGAUACCAUGACGGUUUCUGAAGAAACCAGAAACUUCUCUAACAGACUAGUAAUUUGAUGAAGAAUAUUUAGUGAAAACUAAAAACAAGUAGCACCAAAAGCAUGGAAUAUUUAAUUUGCAUUGAUGGAGAAAUCAAGUUCUUGAGUUUUGUAAAAUAGACAAACACUGACUCUGUACCUUGCUGCAGAGUUGCAAUCUCCUUAUUUAGACUGAAGGUUCUUGAUCCGUCCAAGGGUCUUUCGAAAACAAUCUCUUUGUAAAAUAGACAGACACUGACUCUGAAUUCUGAUACCAUGACGGUUUCUGAAGAAACCAGAAACUUUUCAAACAGACUAGUAAUUUGAUGAAGAAGAUAGCUUCAUUUACUUGAUGAGUAACAAUCAGAUGUGAGUAGUCUAUUUAUACUACUCAAUAAGCUACUCAAUACAAGUUGUUGUUAGUAACUAACUGUCACUAUCUAUAACUAACUUAGUAACUAAUUAAUUAACACUCUUUUCUAACUGUUUUCUGGAAGUAGUCUGACAGAUUUCUUUGUUUGAGUUCUAUCAACAUGGUGCUAGAUAGUUAAAACAAAAACAACCAACAUUAUAGUAGAUCAAGCUAUAAUUAAUUUGAUUUAUGAAAAAACAUAGAACCAAUAGAGAAAAACAAUUGAGAAAGAUUGAACAACAGAGUCUUGCGUCUUAAGUGAAGAACUAAUCAUAAACUUAAAAGAAAGAAUUUCACUGAGAAAACGAUUUGGGUGGGGGAGAGGUGGGGGAAGACGAUUUCACAUGUCUUUAUUUAAUUCGUCACUUUGACGUGUCAUCAGCGAGUGUGUUACACACACCUUACACAUUUGGCUGAUUGUUAAAAAAGUGUCAAAAAGACAUAACGGGGCAUAACAUGAGGUGUCUAAAAUGAACAAAUUCUAGUUAAAGUGUCUAAGUGAAAACUUGUGCCAACUUUAGGUGGCCACCGAUGGAUUAGGCCAAUGAUAGUUAGGUACGAGCAUUACUCAUUCAGCUAAUAAACUAGAGCCUACUCUUGUUGCCCCGAUCCACAGAGAUUUAGUCAUUUGGCACUCUGAUUGUCUUACGAGGAGAUCCAUCUGUUGAUUUUUGGUGUGACCCUAAUUUCUAUUUCGUUCAUGUUUUUUUUGUCUUUCCAUUGUUUUGUUGUUGUAAUGUGAUUUCUUAUGUUUGUUAAAGUUGCAAGAAUUUUCAGGUUUAUGUCAGAAGAUUCAGUACUACUACUCACUACUAGUUAUCUAAUUUAAGUUAAACAAAGAGGAACUUGAAAAUAUUAGUUUAGAACAAAGUAACUUAAAAGAGACUAAAAUACUAAGUGUAAAUUACAAGAGAGAAAUGAAAACAUAUAGCCUUUGGUAGCCAAAAUCCAAAGUUGCAUUGUCUCUCCUCUGAUGGAUUAUUUUCCCUCUUCAAACUUCGAUGAGUUAGGGAUGACCUCUGAUAUAGCCUUUGGUAGCCAAAAUCCAGGUCGUUCGAUAGAGGCUGCACGAUCAAGUACCAAUGGAUCCCGCAAUGUGAUCUGAAUGCCAUCAUAUGUCCACAACUCUAGCUAAGCCAGCAACCGCAACAUCCAUGUUCUUGACAUUCCAGCUCGUUCCACGUGCUUUUACUUCCUGCUUUGGCCAUUGUCCUAAUUUAGAAACUCGCUCCAUAGAAAUCAGAGGCGGAAGAUAAGAAAAAAAAAAAAAGGAACAAUUAGAGGAUUUUAUUUACACAUACGGCACUAUGACAUCUGCUAUUGGCUAACUUGCAACAUGUUGUUAGUUGUUAACUUGUUUUUGCAACUACGACUUCUCUUUAGCAAAGAAUACUAUCUCACCUUUCAUUGUACUUCUCUCAAAUCUAUAUGUUGAUAUUCAACAAAAAACAUAAUACUCAUGUAGUUCAAGUGGAAUUGGCUAUAAAGUAGGAAAUAUUAUUGAAUCAGAAAUAGUGCAGGAAUUGGAGUAUAACCUGCAAUCUCACUCCAGCAUGGUUUUCUGUCUUUACUAGAUGAAGAGACACACUAGGUGAUGCCCAGACAGUGAUGUAGAUUGUUUCAACUGAGGCUUGAACUAGAUCCAGUCUAACUAUAUGUACAGUCUGCCCAUGCUGCAAGAAAAUGGUGAAAAUUGCAUUUUAGAGUCGAAAAGUCAUUUUUGCAGCCUUACCCUGCAUUUAAGGAAGAGGCUGUUUUCACAACUCGAACCCAUGACCUCCUAGUCACAUGGAAGCAACUUUAUAGUUACGUCAAAGCUCCCCUUCAGUAGACAAGUAAGAAAAGAUGUCCUCCAGUGGAAAAGGAAAACCAAAUAUAUCAGUCCCUCCCUUAACCAAUUGAGACUUGAUCUGGUUAAAUAUUAUGAAAAUAUUUUCUUUUCUCUUCAAGUGACAAUUUCUUCUCCUGUUUCCCCCAAAUAUUAUUUAACACGUACGCUAUUUAUAAAAUAAAAAUGAACAAAGUUAUGUAUAGGUACCUUUGCUAUUACCGAAGAAAACUUGCCAUAUGCUUGCCAAGAUCCAUCUCAUUUAAUUUCUCUUCAACAUCUUUCAUUCUCUCUGGAGUCUCCUUCAGCUCUGAACAGUGAUGGAUACCAAGACCUUUAAUGAGAGGCAUUGCACUUGUGCCUAAAUGCCAUCUUUCUAGGUUCCGAAGUUUUAUAAGAUGAAGGAACUCGAGUUGACUGAAGCUGUUAUCACUGCACAUUAUUUCUUUUCCUUCAUAAGCAUCUUCUAAUAUGAGAUUCCUUAGGUUUGGCAACAUUCCCAAAGUAGGCAUCGGAUCUUCCAUGAAUUUUGACUUCCUAAGAACCAUCAUUGUGAUGGAAUUUGGAAACAGAGGCAGUUUCUCUAUUUUCCCAUGUAAGCACAAUUUCUGGAGCUUUUGACAAGAAUUAACAAAUUCCAGGGAUGGGAAUGAUUCAAAACGUUCACAAAACAAUCUGAGAGUGCUAAGGUUUUUCAAGAUGCUAAUGUUGUUUAAGGAGUAAGAUUUCUUAAUACGUUGCAUGCUUAAUUCUCCAAGAUUGACUAAAUCAACAGGGUCAACAUCUAUCCACUGAUCACAACAAACGCCUUGAAGAACUUGAAGACUAGUGAGUUUGCUUAUAAGUUUCAGAGGUUUUGAAUACGAAGCAACUAAAUGUCUUAGAUUUAUCAGGUCAGCUGUCACGCGGGGUAGUCUGCAAGAGUAUAGCCCCUCAUUGACAAUAAGUGUCUGUAGAUUCUUGAGGUUGCCAAUGGAAGAUGGAAGAUCAUGGAUACCUCUCAAUCUUAAGAACUUGAGGUGGUACAAACUUCCUAUGGCAUCAGGUACUGAUGCAGAAUGCCUAUUGUAAACAGGCAUAUCCAAGUACAACACAUAUAGAUGCUGGAAAACACUCCUGAAUUUUAUAAGACUCAUCUUAUGAAAAUCUGGAUCAAAGAACAUAAUUGACCUCAACUUUAAGUUAGAAAGAUCAAGUGAGAGGUACCUUACUCCUUGACUAUGAAUGCCAUGUCUGAUACAUAAAGAGGAUAUGGAGUGGUUCUUUGGAUCAUAAAUGUCAAAGAAGUUCACCUCCAAUGCCUUUUGUAUCACAAGAUCACGAAGUAAAUCAUGAACCCUACAAUGAGUAACUUUUUCCCAAAAUGUGUCUACCACUUGAACCAAGCUUCUUCUUAUCAGCUCAUUCAAGAAGCCUUCAGCCACAUCCUCCAUUCUUUCUUCUCCAUUUGGUACGAAACCCUCAGCCAUCCACAACCUUAUUAUGUUAUCAGCCUCGAGAACUUGAUCUUCUGGAAAAAUACCAAAGUACAGAAAACACUGCUUGAGCACAGUUGACAAAAUCAUUGUAGCUUAAGGAUAGAAUGCAGGAGAUUUCAAUAAAUUUAUCUUCAAUAAUGUUCUUCCAAAGUUGAUCUUUCACUUCUUGCCAUUUGUCCACCCCCCUCUAUGCGAAAGUAGUCCACUCAAUACAACAAUUGCAAGAGGUAAGCCUCUACACUUUUCCACCAUAUCCUUAGCUAGACUUUCCAUUGCUGGAACCAUUGCUCGAACAUCAAGUAGUUUCCUACAAAAGAGAUCCCAACUUUCUUCUUGGCUUAGGAAACGAAGUUUAUGGAUAAAACCUCUGUUGUCUGCUCUUUCAGCGACAUCCUCUUUGCGCGUGGUAAUAAUAACUCUGCUGCCAUUCUUGCUAUCCGGGAAUGCUCUUUUCAAACUUUCCCAUGCUUCUCUCUGCCAUACAUCAUCAACCACCACAAGGUAUUUGCGUUCUUUUAAUAGAUCACGAAGAUAAAUUUCUAGAUCUCCUUCUGUCAUCCUUUCCAACAAAUCUAGAGUUUCGUUGGUGCGCCCUUGGAUGGAUUUUAUGAUAUUCCUGAAAAGAUCCAUGGUGUUGUACUCUUGAGAAACACAUAUCCAAGAGCGUGUAGGGAAACUAGAGGCUAUAUUAGGAUUUUUGUAGAGGUUUCUUGCAAGAGUGGUCUUGCCUAAUCCGCCCAUUCCAUAAAUGGAGACGACGCUUCAACGAGGCGCUGCUUUGAGAAGUUCAGAUAGCAAUGUUUGUACAACAUCCUGAAGUCCAACAAAAAUGUAAUCCUGGUCAUCCACAUAUGAGGUAGUUCUCCUCAAUGUUCUGACCUGAUUACUUGGCCCUUCUCCAGCAUUACUAUUGAUAUUUGUAAUACCAUAAGUCUCUCGUUUGCGAGAGAUAUCUAUGAUUCGCUGCUUGAGUGAUUGAAUCUCCUCGGCGACAUUGUAGAAUUUCUUCUCCUUCCUGUAUAUGCAAGCGCAAGCCUUGAGACAACUAACACCUUUACCAGCCUCAAAGCUGUAAGUCUCGAGUAUAGCGACAGCAUCAUUAGCAAUAGUGUUGAUUUCAAGCACCCAUUGUUGAACUCUAUGAUCUACACAUUGCUUUAGUUCUGCAUCUUUGAGGAAAGACUGUAUGAAGCGUAACUCAUUUCUCAGCCAUGUAACUUCAUCUCUCAGACUUGUUAUCAGUGAAAUUUGUUGAAUGAGGAAAUCACCCAAUUUUUGAACUGCAAAUGACACAAAGGCAUCAGCCAUCUUUAUGGUUGAAAAAAAGAAGAGAUGACUAUUGGAAAUCAAUAUUUUUUGAAAAAAGGUAGUGUGUAUGGAAAUUAAUAUUGGAAGCAGUAGAUUGAGAGAUGAAUAAUAUUGUUAUGAUGGAAUAAAUUAUUGAGAGUUUGAUAAGUGAUGAAUAUUGUUAACAUGGAAUUCAGUAUUUAAAGCUUAAAAAAUCCGACAGAGGAAAAAGUCUAAAAGUAGAAAGAUGAUAGAGUUUGAGGUUGAUGGUAAAGAAAGAAAAGUAUAUAUUCUCUACUAACUGCAAGCCAAGAAUUUAAAAUUGCAUGACACAAGUUAUGCUCAGUGUAGUGGUGAAGCCAAAAGUUGCCAUUCAAGAUUUAGUAUAUAUGUAUGAAAAAUAAGUUUUAACUUUUGUAUAAUUUUUUAUAUACAUAGUAUAAUUUUUCGACGAAAAAUGUCUGAUUGAACACCCUAAGCUAUAUGUGGCUACGCCACUGCUUCAUUGGCACAAGUUGUGUGUUUAGACAAGAACUUAUGUCCCAAGGCACAAGUCCCCCAGAGCAAACAACAACAACAAGUAGGGUCUGGAGAGGGCAAAAUGUAUGCAGACCGUACCACUACCUCGUGGAGGUAAAGGUUGUUUCAAAAAGGCCCUCGGCAAUAAGUCCCCUGGGUCAAAUAUCACGAUAUUUCUGUACUUUAUACUUUACUUAAAAAGACAUAGUAUCAUAUUAGAUCAAAUUUUAUUAUUCAGAAGAGUUGGUUUAAUUGUUCCUCCACCUAAAUCACUUUUUGCUAAUUAAUUUCAUCUUUAAAUUAUAGAUACCUUUCUUUUCUUUUUAACUAUCCUUGUUAGGGGAAUCUAUAGGAAAAAAUAUGAUGAACAUGACUUCUCAAUUUGAAGAUGCGUUUUGUAACUUUGAAGAGAAGAAAUAAAAUAUUUGAAUUCAGUCUCGGAGGUUAUUCCAAAAAGAUUUUGUAAGAGCUUGAAGGUCAAUAUCUCAAAAUUGAUUUGCUGAAAAAGAAUUUUGUUUCGAAUUGGUGAUUUUUCAAAAGAACUGAUGAAACAUCGAUGAGACUAAUAAUAUAAAAUUUGAGAUUAUUUGGGUAACAUUUGAAUUAGCUUUAGACUGAAUUUUUAAUUAUAGUUCGUUGAAAUUCAAAAUUACCGUCGAAUUAUAUCAAAAAUCAUAUGAUAAUCAUAUAGUGACGGAUGCAUUAUAUGUAAAUUGUUUUUUAAGUUUGGUAUUUUAUUGUAGUUGUAUUGUUUUCGGUCUCCCACUCGGUGUCCGAUACCCGCUAGAGCUCGACUAUCUCGAAUUCGCGCCGUGUAGAGCCAUUUGAGGGGAAGCGCUCUCUAACAAGUAAAUUCCACAGUACUCUUUAAUAUAAUUUUAUUUUAUUUUUUACUAAUUAAUUCAAAGAAGUAGAAUACUCUAUGGUUAAUUUUUGCAUAAAAAUUAGGAAAAAAACAUCUCAGAAAGUUACUUAGUUAUAACAAGCAACAAACAGUUUUGUGAACUAAUAGCCCACCAAUAAGCUCUUUAACAUAAGUAAUUUAUGUAGGGAAACUUUCGCAUAUAGCCACUAAUUAUAAAAAUAGCUUAAUUAUGUAUAUUGCCACUAAAAAUAGCUUAAUUAUACAUAUUGCCACUAAAAAUAGCUUAAUUAUGCAUAUAGCCACUAAAAACAAGUUAUACCAAAAUCAUGGAAUAUUUAAGUUGCAUUGAUGGAGAGACCAAUAGAGAUGGACAAAUCUAUUUAAACAACAUGUGAAACUCAAAACAAAUAGAAGAUAGGAAGAUAUACAAUAAUAGAGAGGCUAGAUACAUAUGGAUUCAAUUUUGAAAAUGAAAAUUCUAACCACAUUCCUUAUAAUUGGAAUAUUUUUGUUUGAUAGUUUUGUGAGAAGUGAACCAAAUACCAAAGAGAUUAGCCAUAUUUGCAAUGGGAAUGUGUAUGAUAAGACUUAAGAGUGGCCCAUUUGCACUAAGUUUGGCUUAUGCUGUUGAAGCAUUACAAAAUGUGACACUAAAUCAAGGUUAUGAUUACUUCAUAACAUCUCCUUAUCCUAAUGAUGCUUUAGCUUAUGGCCAUGCUACUUAGCUUGCAACUCCAUUAUUGAAUUUUCAGAUUGUGGCCUUUGUCUAAGUAGUGCAAAAUCAUUCUUGUUGAGUAAUUGUGAUGGUAGCAUUGGAGGUCAAGUUGAAUUUGUUGAUUGCUCAAUGAGGUACGAACAAUACUCGUUCAGCUAAUAAACUAGAGCCUAAUCUUUUUGCCAUGAUCCACGAAGAUUCAGUCAUUUGUCACUCUGAUUGUCUUAUGAAGAGAUUCCUCAUUGAUUUUUGAUGUAUCCCUGAUUCCUAUCUCGUUUCGUUCAUCUUCGUUUCUUCCUUUUUCCGUUGUUUUGUUUAUUAGGAAAGGCAAGCACAAAAUAAAUGUGCACGACAGGGCAAUAGCGGAAGAAAAUCCAAGUAAAAAAUUUCCCUUCUAUUUGAACCAAGAGAAGACAAAAUAAUGCAAGAAAAACACUGUUUGGGGUCGCAAACAAAUCAAUCAAGCAAAUAAAAUAAAUACAAACACGAGACACCAUAUUUAACAUGGAAAACCUCUUCGGUGUGAAGAGUAAAAACCACAAGGCCAAAGCUCCACUAAAAUCAACAAGAGUUACAAAAGUGUUCUCCAAAAUGGUCACCAACAAAGUGUCAAACAAUGAGCAACACAACUACAAGAUAGCACCAAACACUAGAGAAAUAAAAGGAGCAAAAACACCAAAUAUGCAGCUACUGUUCACGAGCAAAAAUCUGGAGUUACAGGACUCCAAAACACCCUCUUUCAGUUCUCAAUCAAAGAUUAAGUUGGAAGGAACAAGCUGUACAAAAAGCAGCUCAAUCGGAUAAGAAACGAAGUUGGAAUCGCGAUUUGAAAUUGGCUGCAAGGGCUUGUGCGAAAAUCUGCACUCUCUCACUGUUGUCUCUAUAUGUCUACUCUCAAUCUCAUGUAAUUCUUCAAAAUAAGACCUAAAAAGAAAGUCUUACAUAUGCACCAUAAUAUUGGGCUUAUAGACAAAAGUGGGCUAAUCAAAUUUGAGCUAAAUUUAUCCACAUAGGAAGGGAAAAAGGCCCAAAACCCAACAUUGUUGUUGACUUGUUGUAUCUAUAUGUACUAGAUGGUGGGUGCCCGGGCGCGCACGGACCCAAUAUUUAUACAUCUCUGUGUGUAAAAAUUAUCUUGGAACGCAAAACAGAUGAGAUAGCAGCACCAAAACAAAUGGAUCUAAAUCAAUGAGCAUCAAAAGAACACCAGAGAACGGUAACAAAAAAAUUUAUGCUUUAUUUAGUAGUUAACAUGAACUACAUGCAGUAGGAUGAUAAACAUAGCAAAUAAAGAGGUCUAAAAUAUAUUGAAUAAAUUAAGAAUUUAAAAUGCAAUUAUAACAGUGCAACGAUGUUUGUUGAACAACAAACAUAGAAUCAAAGUUAGGAAACCUCUCAUUUUGAGAAAUUUAUAGAAUCUUUCUUAAAGUUCAGUUUUAAUAACAAAAUGGUUUAUCAAAAUUUUAUUGAUCAAGAUAUCAAAUCUCACCAUAGGAGCUAGGUCAUUCUCAUGUGAUAUUAUAAGAUUUUCAAUAGCUACAUAUUAAUUUAUCAGAAGCUCAACUAUCCAAAUGAAUUUUAAAAGAUGCAUUUCAUUUUUUACCGUUAAUUCUAUACUACCUUAAAAGCAUUAACUCCAAACUUGAAUGUUGAAUUACAAUAAUACCCCCAAUUAAAAAUACUCAAUUUAUUUAUUUAUUAAUUUAAAUAAGUUUAUUAUAUUGAAAGUAGAUACCUUUUCAAAUUAAAGGAUUGCGACUUUUUCAAUGAGUUGUGACUUUUUUUUUACGGGUUCUGACUUUUUCAAUGAGUUGUCACUUUUCCAAAGGGUUGUGAUUUUUUCGAAGGGCUGUGACUUUUCUAAAGGGUUGUGCCUUUUCUGAUGAGUUGUGCCUUUUUCAAAGGGUUGUGGCUUUGCUGAUAUGCAGUGACUUUUUUGAAAGGUUGUGACUUUUCGGAUAAGGCACAAUUAANNNNNNNNNNNNNNNNNNNNNNNNNNNNNNNNNNNNNNNNNNNNNNNNNNNNNNNNNNNNNNNNNNNNNNNNNNNNNNNNNNNNNNNNNNNNNNNNNNNNNNNNNNNNNNNNNNNNNNNNNNNNNNNNNNNNNNNNNNNNNNNNNNNNNNNNNNNNNNNNNNNNNNNNNNNNNNNNNNNNNNNNNNNNNNNNNNNNNNNNNNNNNNNNNNNNNNNNNNNNNNNNNNNNNNNNNNNNNNNNNNNNNNNNNNNNNNNNNNNNNNNNNNNNNNNNNNNNNNNNNNNNNNNNNNNNNNNNNNNNNNNNNNNNNNNNNNNNNNNNNNNNNNNNNNNNNNNNNNNNNNNNNNNNNNNNNNNNNNNNNNNNNNNNNNNNNNNNNNNNNNNNNNNNNNNNNNNNNNNNNNNNNNNNNNNNNNNNNNNNNNNNNNNNNNNNNNNNNNNNNNNNNNNNNNNNNNNNNNNNNNNNNNNNNNNNNNNNNNNNNNNNNNNNNNNNNNNNNNNNNNNNNNNNNNNNNNAAAAAAAAUAAUUAUUUUUUGAAAUAGCUAUAUGUGCCGUCCCGUUUAUCCCAUCCCGUUCCGUUCCGGUCCAUUCCGGUCCGUCCCGGUUCUAUCCCGGUAUAUAGUGGGACGGGACGGAACCGAGCCUCCAUCCCGGUAGUUCCGGUCCGGUUCAUCCCGGUACCGGUCAACAACCCGGUCAAACCGUCCCGUUCCGGUCCGGUUCCGGUUCGUUCCGGUCCGGUGGUCCCAUUCCGGUCCGGUGCCCAGCCUUAGGCACAAUUAACACCUAUUCAUACUACUAUUUGACAGUUAUAAAAAGAGGGGUUUCCUCGCACUUUUAAACUACAUUUUCUUUAAGUUCUCUACUCUUCUUUUUCUUAAAAAAUCUCAAGUGUUAUUUGCAAAAAUUGAUUAAGUUCAAAAUUCGAGGUACCUCAUAAGAAAAAGUUGGUGAAAAAAUUGUAGGAAUCAUUCAUCAAUUCACACUCGUAUUUUUUUCUUACCAUUUUCAUGAGUUCAGUGACGAAAAGUUGUGGGAGAGACAAAAUAUUAAACAGAUAUGAAAAAAGGCAUAUGAUUUGGGUAAGAUAUUUCUUCUUUGUUUUUUAUUUUCUAUUCUUUUCCCUCAAACGAAGGAGUUUCUUCCUAAUUUUUCUAAAACAAUGGGUAUCAACGUAGUCCAUUGAAUUAUUAGUUUUGAUAUUAAAUUCAUUAUUCAAAAAUAGAUUUUCACUUUUACUUAUAAUAUGAUAACAUAGUCAUGAUAAUAAUUAUUUUUAAUAGAUAUGUAUGUAAAAAUGAAAGGAGAAAGUAAAGUGUUGGUGGCAAGAGAUUUAAAUCAAAUGGAACACUAGAGUGAAUAUAGCAUGAACAUAUAUUUUUGUCUUCCUUCUUCAUUGACUAUGUAUUGUUCCAUAUAAUUUUUCUUUAUGUCACAAGAUGCACACUCCUUACUAGCUAUAUAAAAAUAGAUAAGAAAAUUGUGAUUGAUCAUUAAAUGAUCUUAUAUCAUAUUAAUGAUUCUAUAAAUAAUACUUUACAUUUUAUUCAUCUAUUGUUUUUUAUUAUUGAAAAUAUUAAAUAUUUAAUAUCAUGAUACAACUUCUAUAAGAUACUAAUACUUUCAUUAGACAACAACUAUAUGAUAUGUAUGCGGCAAAAAAAAGGAGAAGACUACAACUCCACAAAGAUAAGGUAGAAACUUAACGAAAUGAAAUAUUUUUCAUCAUAGGUGAUGUUAUUCAUGUAUUAAAAUUAAAUUAUUCUACUGAAGUAUAUAUAAUCAUCAUUCAUUAUAACAACCAAGUACACCUUUUUUGUAAAAUCACCUCUCUAUGAUAGUCUUACUCAAAUAUUAAUAGAGUAAUAAUAUUUUGUAAAAGAUAUGUUACAUAUAAAGAUAAAAUAUUGAAAUACUUAUGGUAAUCCUUAUUAGUGUCAUGCGCAUACUAAAGUACAAGUAUGAAUAUUUAAGACAAAAUCUGUACUUAAAUGGUGUACAUCAUUUAUGUUUAUAACCUCAAGAGGAAAGGGUAUUGGUGACAUUUUUUUAAUGAAUAUUUUUUUUCUAUUUUGUUGGUUAGAUUUGUUUACAAAAUUGAGUGAAGUAAUAAAUAAUAUUAUUAAAGAAAUGUCACUUUCUCCCAUAUUUAAACUUUGAAUGUAUUUUGAAAUGUUUUAAUGAUAACUAUAAACACAAAUGUUGAUACCCUAUUCUCACUCACUCUUCUACUAUGGUAGAAAUAGAAUGUAUAUAUUUUUUUUACUUUUGUGUUGCAAAUAAUUGAGUUUAGUUCUUUAAUGUCCUUUUGUUUAAAUAGUUGAAUUAUGAGCAAUUUUCUCUUUGGUUUUAUCUUUUUUCUCGUUGACUUAUGUGCGAUUUGCUCACUAUUUCUUUUUCCAAAAAUCUCUCCAUACUAAGCGAGUUUGAAAGUUUUUUUUUUUUUGUUAUUUUCGUUGUACACUGAGCGAGUUCUCAACUUCUUUUAUUAUAUGCCCUCAUAGUAACCCCGUCAUUAAUUGAAGUAGGAUAAACAUUUUCUAAUGAAGAAAAAUCAUUAUUAGGAAAAGAACGUGCUUUAAAAAAAAAAGAAGAGAGAAAUAAUAAACUUAAUUGGAAAAAAGACAGUUUUGACUUAUUAAGUAACAAUAACAACAUUUAUAGAUCAAACUAUUGAAGACAAUGAUAUUUUUGGAUCAAACUAUCCACUAAGAAUAUUUUUAUUCAUUUUACAUGAUUUAAGAAUAUUAUAAACCCUUUUUCCGUUAAUUAAAUCAUCACAAAAUCCAAAAAAAAAAAAAAAAAGUUGUUUUCCAACACAUGUUUCCACACACUAAGAAAAGCCAAAAACAGAAAGAAAUUAAACAUUGAAAAACGAAAACAUAAGAAAAAACAGCAACCUUGAUUGAUGGUUGGAGAAGGCAAGUUGAUGAAGUAAGAGCUUCUUCUCUGUUGAUUUAACACAAAUAUUAUUUAUUUAUAUUUAUAUAAAAGAGGAACAAAAAAAUACUACUAAAUUGUGGACAAGAGAGUAUUUUUAAUAUCAUUUUUUUAACAUAUAAAUAAAGCAUCGUCUUAAAUGUGGAUAAGCAAGAGAACAUACAGUAGACCAAUUAUGUUCAAACCAAUUACAAAGCUUAAAACAAUAAUAAAGAAAUGAAACACUAAAACCACUCAAUUAAUAACCAAUGUGCUUGGCAGAAAUGCCAUGCCCCCAUCAAUACCUCUACGAUUAUGAAGACAUCAUAUAUAUAUAUAUAUAUAUAUGCUUGAAAAGCUUCACCACAUAUAAUUCCUCUUCAACAGCUCCACGUCUUUCAUUCUCUCUGGAAUCUCCUUUAAAUUUGGACAGUCAUGGAUACCAAGACCUUUAAUCAGAGGCAUUGCACUUGUGCCUAAAUCCCAUCUUUCUAGCUUUGAAAGAUCAUAAAGAUGAAGGAACUCUAGUUGACUGAAGCUGUUAUCACUGCACAUUAUUUCUUUUCCUUCAUAAGCUCCAACCAAAUGGAGAUUCCUUAGGUUUGGCAACAUUCCCAAAAUAGGCAUCGGAUCUUCCGUCAGUUUUGAGUUCUCAAGAAGCAUCAUUGUGAUGGAAUUUGGAAACAGAGGCAGUUUCCCUAUUCUCCCUUCUAACCUCAAUUUCUGGAGCUUUUCACAACAAUUAACAAAUUCAAGAGAUGGGAAUGAUUCAGUUUCUCCACAAAUCAAUUUGAGAGUGCUAAGGUUUUUCAAGCUGCUAAUGUUGUUUAGGGAGUAAGUUUUGCUAGUAUGAAACAUGCUUAAUUCUCGAAGAUUGACUAAAUCAACAGGAUCAACAUCUUUCCAUUGAUCACAACAAACUCUUUCAAGAACUUGAAGACUAGUGAGUUUGCUUAUAUGUGCCAGAGGUUUUGAAUACCAAACAACUAAAUGUCUUAGAUUUAUCAGGUUAGCUGUCUCGCGGGGUAGUUUGCAGGAGUAGUAUCCCCCCUCAUUGACAACAAGUGUCUGUAGAUUCUUGAGGUUGCCAAUGGAAGAUGGAAGAUCACGGUUAGCUCUCAAGCUUAAGAACUUAAGGUGGUACAAACUUCCUAUGGCAUCAGGUAUAGCACCACAGCCUUUAAUAUGCAAGUACAACACAUAUAUAUGUCGAAACACAUCUAUAUGUUGGAACACAUUACGAAAAUCCUGAUUGAAGAACAUAAUUGACCUCAACUUCAAAUUAGAAAGAUCAAGUAAGUGAUACAUUUCUCCUUGACCAUGAAAGGCAAGUCUGAUACAUGAAGAGGAUUUGGAGUGCUUUCUUGGAUGAUAAAUGUCAAAGAGGUUUGUGUCGGAUGCCUUUUGUAUGGCAAGAUCACGGAGUAAAUCAUGAACCCUACAUUCAGUAACUUUUUCCCAAAACGUAUUAGCCACUUGAACCAAGCUUCGUCUUAUCAGCUCAUUCAAGAAGCCUUCAGCCACAUCCUCCAUUCUUUCUUCUCCAUUUGGUAUGAAACCCUCGGCCAUCCACAACAGUAUUAUCUUUUCAGCAUCGACCUCUUGAUCUUCUGGAAAAAUACCAAAGUACAGAAAACACUGCUUGAGCACAGUUGACAAAAUCAUUGUAGCUUAAGGAUAGAAUGCAGGAGAUUUCAAUAAAUUUAUCUUCAAUAAUGUUCUUCCAAAGUUGAUCUUUCACUUCUUGCCAUUUGUCCACCCCCCCUCUAUGCGAAAGUAGUCCACUCAAUACAACAAUUGCAAGAGGUAAGCCUCUACACUUUUCCACCAUAUCCUUAGCUAGACUUUCCAUUGCUGGAACCAUUGCUCGAACAUCAAGUAGUUUCCUACAAAAGAGAUCCCAACUUUCUUCUUGGCUUAGGAAACGAAGUUCAUGGCCAAAACCUCUGUCGUCUGCUCUUUCAGCGACAUCCACUUUGCGCGUGGUAAUAAUAACUCUGCUGCCAUUCUUGCUAUCCGGGAAUGCUCUUUUCAAACUUUCCCAUGCUUCUCUCUGCCAUACAUCAUCAACCACCACAAGGUAUUUGUGUUCUUUCAAUAGAUCACGAAGGUGAACUUCUAGAUCUCCUUCUGUCAUAGUUUCUAACAAUCCUAGAGUUCCCUUGGUGCGACCUUGGAUGGAUUUUAUGAUAGUCUUAAGAAGAUCCAUUAUGUUGUACUCUUGAGAAACACAUAUCCAAGCGCGUGUAGGGAAGCUUGAGAUUAUAUUAGGACUGGUGUAGAG